RNAcentral lists this long non-coding RNA (2980 nucleotides) under Zea mays. RNAcentral's name for it is "long non-coding RNA (ZMAY_LNC005301)". Lineage: Eukaryota; Viridiplantae; Streptophyta; Magnoliopsida; Poales; Poaceae. The record is from RNAcentral.
GGGUGUCUGCCCCAUUCAACGAACGCUGCGCAUGGUGGAGGCCAGAGGCGCGCCAUUGUCAUGCGUUUCGUUACCGCAGGUGACCCUAGCUUCCCUCGUCUAUUUAGAAAGCUGCGACCGAAGCCUAAGCUAUUCACCUCUCCGUGCUCCUCGCGUCCGCCACCCUAGAAAGAUCACGGGAGCCCUCGGUGUGGUGUCCGCGCAGAAGUUAGGGGGGCACCACGGAUUGUGGUGUAGCGUCUUCACAUCGGCGAGGACGCAUACCCUAGGAGCAUCGCAAGAUCACACCAAGCGUACCCGUGGAGGUGGUGGGCUCUGACGGUAGGGGUAGAAGAGUGGAUUGCUCGCCGGAGUUCAACGAGAGCCUCCGUCCGCCCCACGCCCGGUUCUGCGCGCACGUCAUCACGAUUUUCGGUACGAACCCCUUUCAUAGUUUAGAAUUGAUCCUCGCUUUGUUUAGAUGGGUCCUGCGUAGAGAAUCAAGAACCGUAUCAAUGUCAGGGCUGUCGCCGGUGAUGUUCCGCCAUAUGGGGACGGUGGCGCCGCCAUUCAAAACGAAACGGGUGAGGAAAAAUGGCGUAUGCCGUUGAUGAGCAAGCGAAUGGCUGGGAUUAUCCGGCGCGUACCCGUUCGGCGGUGUCAAUCCGGACCGUCCAUCUCUGAUCGAGCGCAUGUGAUUCACCGUGGGCAACGUAAGAUCCGGACGGUUGAACUAAGAUCCUAGGGCCAAAUAUGCGUACCAGUUCACUUAAUGCGACAUCUAAUCAUGGCCCUCAGAAUGAGAUCCAAUGGCUAGAAUCCAUCCAUACUCUCGGUCGCGACAGAUUUACAUCUGAGGCCCUCAGGAUUCGCUAAAUAGAACCCGCAAUCCACCCAGGUGUUGUCUGAGUCUUGGAAAACUUUGCAAGUUAACCCUUGUGCUAUUUGGUAUUUAAUGUGCAGUCCAACAGCCAGGGAAUUAAGAAAAAACAAUAUUAGAAGUUGAUUUUAAUACAAAAAUGAAUCCAGAAAAUUGUAUAAUUCAUAUUUAAUUCAUUUGAAGUCCAAAUUAAUCCAUUCUAGUUUCUAUAAUUUUGUAAUAUUAUUGUUUAUCAGAUAGUGUCUCUGUUUUGACAUGAAAAUCAUAUUAAAUGUAUCUCUUAAUUAAUCUUGUAUAAAAACAUAAAACCUUAAGAAAAUCAUAACCCCUUCGUUUUAAUUCUGAAUUGACUCGUUCCAGUUGCGUUAUCUUUGUAAUAAAAUUUCCUACUCAGAAACAACACUAUUUGUGUCAUAUCCAAUACUUUUAUAAUUAGAUCUUUAUUUAACUUAUGUUGGUUAGUCUUGUUAAUCUGGUUAACAUUAUAAUCUACUAAAAUAUGAUCUAUGGUCAAUUUAUAAUUUAGAUUAAAGUUGAAUUAAUUACUACUGUAGGUUAUCUUUUCUCUGGAAUUAUAAAAUAAACAUAGAACCUAGUUUUAAUCAUUUAAUCCCAUCAUAACUUGAUGACCGUAACUCCGAAUUUAGUGAUUCUCAUCCCAACGAUCUCCUAGCAAUGCGUAUAUUAUUAUUAUGCAGUAUGUUCUUAUGUCUUGUGAGAUGUUAAUUUUGUCUAUACCAUGUUUGUUUGUAUUGCUACGACUAGCAGUGAGGACACGAGGAUCUAAGGAUCAUCCUGGUACCUGGAAUCUCAAGUCCCAGGCAAGUUGUGCCCUUGAUCACUUUUGCUUACCCAAUAAUGUUCUUUAUAAUCAUUUAUUCAUGCAUAGGUUUAAUUUUGAUGGGACCCAAUAGAUCACCCUAGUCUGAUUAUCUAUUUUACCUUGUUUAUCCCUGAAUCAUUUGGGUAGUUAUGCUAUUGCUUUACAUGGUUUUAGGUUAAUAUUUCAUUAUAUCCAUGUUCCAAUUAUUUUGUUAUUUUAUUUAUGUUCAUGUCAAGAUCAUUAUCUUUAAUUGGAACAUGGAGCUUAACUUGAGAAACACGUGCCACCACAAGGGUGGAAUGGGACGCCCUUGGCUGACUAAUUAGGAAAGCUAGUGGAAGACUACCUUACCCAAAAGGGGCACGGGCAGUAGGGGAGUUGCAUGCAGGGAGGUUCUCGGGUUAAUUUUGCUGCGAUGGCGGUCAGACGAGGGAUUCUUGCAAGUGCUCUUCCCAUAAACUGUAGCGGGUUUUUGGAAGCUAGUGGAACUUUGUAAAGGCCUCGUAGUGGAUCCCUAGCCAUUCACCUUGGUAGUGUCUAAGGGUCUAGCUAACCCUGGCGAUAUGGGAUACACGACUUGUGGGUAUAGGGUACAACCUCUAUAGAGUGUAAAACUGGUAUACUAGCUGAGCUCACGGUCAAGAACAGCUCAGGACUCUCGCAUGAUUAAAUUAUGGAACUAAAUUCAUUUUGUCGUUUGCAUUGCAUGGGAUUUGUUAUUAAUUUUGUUCUAUUAUUAUUAUGGUUUGGUAUUUACUUACAUCUAGUAAUUGCUAAUAAAAUUUUGACCAACUUUAAAAGCAAUGCUCAGCUUUAACCACUCUCUUGGGUAAGCCUUACACUUCACUUGAGCUCCCACCUUUGGCGAGUUCAUGCACAUUAUUCCCCACAACUUGUUGAGCAAUGAACGUGUGUGAGCUCACCCUUGCUGUCUCACCCCCCCCCACAGGAGAAGUACAUGUGCUUCAAGAGGAGCCACACAACGAGGAGUUCGACUUGAUCUAGGUGGCGUCUCCCAGUUGACUUUAUGGCACCAAGGAUGGACUUUAGUUUGUUUUAUAUUUAUCUUUUAUUUUGUAAGACUUCCUCUAUGUAACAAGUAUUCUGAUUAUAUUGUGACAUUCAUCCCUAAACACUCUGUUCUUAUAUGUGUUGUCUUCUUUGGCGCAUAUAUGAGAUGCACCUGGCUUUGUCCCUUAAAUCCGGGUGUGACAGCGGCGAGAUUUCUCAUCGACGUUCACCACUGCCGCAGAUCCGCCUCGCGGCGUGGUCAGCACUGCUGUCGCCUCCAACCGUCG